This 484-nucleotide ribosomal RNA is filed under the name uncultured bacterium. Its description in RNAcentral is "partial 16S ribosomal RNA". It matches the Rfam family "Bacterial small subunit ribosomal RNA", at positions 30 to 507 of the family's 1533-position model. The record is from RNAcentral.
AUUGAACGCUGGCGGCAGGCCUAACACAUGCAAGUCGAGCGGUUGAAGGGAGCUUGCUCCUGGAUUCAGCGGCGGACGGGUGAGUAAUGCCUAUGAAUCUCCUUCGUAGUGGGGGAUGACGACCGGAGACGGGCGCUAAUACCGCAUCAGUCCUGAGGGAGAAAGUGGGGGAUCUUCGGACCGCACGCACUCAGAUGCGCCUAGGUCGGAUUAGCUAGUUGGUGGGGUAAAGGCCUACCAAGGCGACGCUCCGUAACUGGUCUGAGAGGAUGAUCAGUCACACUGGAACUGAGACACGGUCCAGACUCCUACGGGAGGCAGCAGUGGGGAAUAUUGGACAAUGGGCGAAAGCCUGAUCCAGCCAUGCCGCGUGUGUGAAGAAGGUCUUCGGAUUGUAAAGCACUUUAAGUUGGGAGGAAGGGCAGUAAGUUAAUACCUUGCUGUUUUGACGUUACCAACAGAAUAAGCACCGGCUAACUUCGUG